This 356-nucleotide long non-coding RNA is filed under the name Heterocephalus glaber (naked mole-rat). RNAcentral describes it as "lncRNA (ENSHGLG00000044655.1)". The record is from RNAcentral. Lineage: Eukaryota; Metazoa; Chordata; Mammalia; Rodentia; Bathyergidae.
GUGCGCAUAAGCGUUUCCUUCACUUUCCCUAUUUUUUGCCCUCUCUCUCCUCUAUUACCCUCUUAGCUCUCCUUUGAGAGCCUUUCCUUCUCUCUCCCAUCGUUUUUCGUGUGCCCAGCUGCCAAUCAAGCUACCCACCUCUCUAUUUGCGGGGGAAGGGAGUCGGGACUCAACCCCCUCUAUUACUAGGGGGUUGUUAUGGUGUUCUGCACAAAGGAACUGUUUGGGGAGUUAUUCCCUGGCUGAUCAUUGGAAUGGAGCAAGGCGAGAAAGGAACAGGAAACUAUCCAAUCACUUCAGAUCCUGCUCUGGUCACCUUAGAUCUAGUGAUGUUGGCACAGCACCCCAGCCAUUAG